GAUCUAUUCCCUGGAUUGAUAAUCAUGAAUCCUCGUAGUUUGCAUACGUGUAAGCGAGGAGGAUUCGAAGGGAUGGUUCGAAGGGAUGAUUCACGUAUCCUGAAUUUGACGGAAUGGGUUGGGUUGGAUGUUGUCGAAGUCGGAUCUCUUUCAAACCCUCGGGUCGAACUCGAAGCGGGACGAGGAAGGCAAUUCACAUUUCUCUCGACUUCAAUUAAGUUCCACGACCUAACGAGGAAAAAGUGAGUCGGCAGUUUUAUUGUUUCCGAUUGUCUGAGGAGUUUAAUUACUUGUAAGUUUAUUUUCUUAUUUAAAAACAAGUUUUUCCAUGCUUUCCGAAAAUUCGUUAUCUUUCAUAGUACCUAACUCAGAUAUUGCCUUCACUCUUGAAGGAGUUAUAUUUUUUUUGCCUCUAAGAAACCAGCACUGGGAGGUACGCCCCCUGAUCGCUUCACGGUCCAAUCCCUCUAAGCCCUUGUUUCACAGCUCAGGCAAUAUGCAUCACGCAUUAAUUCGUAAAAUUUAUUAACUUUAUUUUUACUAAGAAUAAACCGUCCUUUAGGAGAACGAAAUUGUUCCGAGGCCAAAAAUUGUCCUUAUCGGAGGACGAUUUAUUGGUACUUGGGUAGUUUUAUACGUAUGCAAAUUGAGAGUGUCAAGUUGCAUUUUCAGGAUGUUUACAAGUCGGGAGAUAGUAACGGAUUUUUCAAGGGCGGUUCGGAAGUAUUGAAGAGCUGCGGAAAUUCUGCAAGAUGGUCCGGAUUUUUUGUCAUUUUUGUCGCAAUAUAAGCGGGAAUUUCACAUUUUUAAAUUCUUUCGAAUUUCGUCAAUUGGAGGUACUGAAUUUUUUGGGAAUGUACUGAAAAAGUACUGUUAAAGUGCUGAUUUUUAGCCAGACUGUUUUAGUAGACACCCUGAUUUUCGUCCGAUUAAUUUAAGCCCCAAACAUAGGUUAAUAUAGUGCAUUUAAAAAAAAAAAAAAAAAACUAAAAAAUAAGUAGAAGAAAAAAAACACUCAUUAUGCAUAAAUCAUGUAACUAACCAAUCUGUACCGUCCAGUUAUCUUUCUCCGAUUUUGCCGAAAAUAAAGUGUCAUUUGUCGCGAAUAAUUUAAAAUGUCGAACGAAUGUCGAGUUUCAUUGGAGCAUUAAUUUAUAACGAGCUGGUCCUCGGUCGUAGGAAGUUCACAGUGCCCGUGGAAAAAAAGGGAAAAUAAACCGACAACUUGAAAGUAGGUUUAUGUGCCAUCAGGCCUAGACCUUCUGUGAUAUGAUAACGUUCAUUGAGUGCUUGAUAACCUGUGAAGUUUUUUCGGGUCUCGGAACGUAAUACCCACGGCCGAAGUUCAUUCUUCAUGUAUUGAUUGGGUUGAUGUCAUCCGUUCGAUCCUCGGUUUUUCCUUUAAUCUAGAGGAUUAUGGUCUCAUUUUUCAGCCCUUUGUCGCUUGCGCCGGAGAUUUCCAGUUUCAGCCAUCCGAGAGAGGGGAGGAGGAAGAAAGGGUGAGGGCGCGACGAGUGGGAAGGGGAAAAGAGGGAAAGGAUACAGACAAAGUGAUUGCAUUCAGGGAGAACCUGAAAAACCGAGAAAAGGCGAAAAUAUGGAAGUUAUCCGAAAGUAAGAAACGGUCGAAUUUUGUCCAUGAGUGAAAACUGCACUGCUUGCUAAUUCAAAAUCCGAGGACCAGUACUCCCAUUUCCCGAAACUUGCUCCGAAUUCCGGAACUUUUGAGAUUUUCCAGGAUUUUUCCCAGAAC
Molecule: long non-coding RNA, 1753 nt
Filed under: Bemisia tabaci
Lineage: Eukaryota; Metazoa; Arthropoda; Insecta; Hemiptera; Aleyrodidae
Description: lncRNA ENSSSA1NGG008844
Source: RNAcentral